This 429-nucleotide ribosomal RNA is filed under the name Gemmatimonadota bacterium. RNAcentral's name for it is "Gemmatimonadetes bacterium partial 16S ribosomal RNA". It matches the Rfam family "Bacterial small subunit ribosomal RNA", at positions 355 to 776 of the family's 1533-position model. The record is from RNAcentral. Lineage: Bacteria; Pseudomonadati; Gemmatimonadota.
UAGGGAAUCUUCGGCAAUGGACGAAAGUCUGACCGAGCAACGCCGCGUGAGUGAAGAAGGUUUUCGGAUCGUAAAACUCUGUUGUUAGAGAAGAACAAGGACGUUAGUAACUGAACGUCCCCUGACGGUAUCUAACCAGAAAGCCACGGCUAACUACGUGCCAGCAGCCGCGGUAAUACGUAGGUGGCAAGCGUUGUCCGGAUUUAUUGGGCGUAAAGCGAGCGCAGGCGGUUUCUUAAGUCUGAUGUGAAAGCCCCCGGCUCAACCGGGGAGGGUGAUUGGAAACUGGGAGACUUGAGUGCAGAAGAGGAGAGUGGAAUUCCAUGUGUAGCGGUGAAAUGCGUAGAUAUAUGGAGGAACACGAGUGGCGAAGGCGGCUCUCUGGUCUGUAACUGACGCUGAGGCUAGAAAGCGUGGGGAGCAAACAGG